RNAcentral lists this transfer RNA (71 nucleotides) under Douinia plicata. RNAcentral describes it as "tRNA-Cys". It matches the Rfam family "tRNA". Rfam says of the family: Transfer RNA (tRNA) molecules are approximately 80 nucleotides in length. Lineage: Eukaryota; Viridiplantae; Streptophyta; Jungermanniopsida; Jungermanniales; Scapaniaceae. The record is from RNAcentral. RNAcentral also lists the same sequence under 2 other names.
AGCGGCAUGGCCAAGUGGUAAGGCAAGGGACUGCAAAUCCUUUAUCCCCAGUUCAAAUCUGGGUGUCGCUU